GCCGGUCCUCGGUAGUGGCCCCCGGGACGCAGCGAGCCUGAACGCAGGACCCCGCACCAGCGCCCCCCGAGGCUUCGAUCGAAGACCGGU
Modestobacter sp. VKM Ac-2676 is the source of this 90-nucleotide regulatory RNA element. It matches the Rfam family "Actino-pnp RNA". The record is from Rfam. Lineage: Bacteria; Bacillati; Actinomycetota; Actinomycetes; Geodermatophilales; Geodermatophilaceae.